GAGAGCUCAGCUCUCGUCUUCCCUGACUGCCCAGAACCCAGCGCCGCCAUCACUUUGACUCCGGCCGGCGCGCCACCACCGAAUUCUCUCUCUCCCUUCCCUUGGUUGAUUUCAACUCACAAAACCCGCAUGCAAAUGUUGUUGAAGGAGAUUGAAGCCAAAAAGAAGAAUUCCCCAAUUCCGAUCAAUCCUGCAACUGCGGUCACCGAUUCUUCUAUUUGAGGUUUGAGCUCCAACCAUGGCUUCUGCAAAUUCCGGCAAGACCAUAGUCUUCCAGUUUCGCUCCAAGCUCCAGUGUUACAGGAGCAAGGAGAAGCUGCUACUUUAGGUUCUGACUUCUGAGGCGAGAAUUGAAGUGUCCUUGUAAGUUGUUAUGCGUUAUUCUAGCGACAUUUGGACAAUUAGAGUUGCUGAGAAGCUUGAGUGGGCCUAGCAGCUCCUGUUACAACCUACAGGGAUGAUGAAUGCAAGACCUCCACUCUUCCAAGCUAGUUCAGCCUAAUCUCUCAAUUUUGGGAAGAAUUGAAGAUAAUUCCUUCUCUGGAUGCCACUGUGUUGUUGUUGGAAGUUGGAAAACAGAUUGAAGUUCAGAUUUGAUGAUGGCGUUUGGAUUUCAGUGAUUAGGGAACUAGUAUGUCGCAUUUGGUACUCAUUGGAAGCCACCGAGGGCGAGAAGGUGCCACCGACUUCCAUUCUGUUUGAUUUGAGUUCAACAGAAGCUUUGGAGCAUGAUUGAGGCAAGUGAGGACUUCAGACAAGGAUUUGGAAGCUCUGGCGACAUUAUCAAAUUCUAACAGAAACUUUAGAGUCUUUUGCAGGUCUUAACUUAUGUUCUGGAGCUAGGAGCCUUGUAGAGAAGUGAAGUCCAUGUUCCUCGUUCUAGUUCCUUUAUUAUCUCUCUAUUGUUAAGUUUAGUAUUUCCCGAGGUUUAAUUCUGAGAAUUGUCAACAUUUGAGUUCUAGUUCCUUUAUUAUCUCUCUAUUGUUAAGUUUAGUAUUUCCCGAGGUUUAAUUCUGAGAAUUGUCAACAUUUGAGUUGUUAUCUUUUGGGUUGUUGUAUUUAAAUGUUUUUGGGCAGGUGACUCUUAUCUCCACAUUCUGUACUUGUUUUGUAAACUUUUGUUUUGAGGAAAUAUUCAAGUUGUUUAUUUUGUUUGUGAAAGUAUAGUUGUGUUGUAAAAUUUUCUUUCACAAGUUUAGUUUGGCGAGUGUUAAAAUAGCACCAUGCUAU
This is a long non-coding RNA of Argentina anserina (silverweed cinquefoil), 1230 nucleotides long. RefSeq lists it as uncharacterized. NCBI's taxonomy places the organism in Eukaryota, Viridiplantae, Streptophyta, Magnoliopsida, Rosales, Rosaceae. The record is from RefSeq and is a predicted model, not a curated record. The transcript is spliced from 6 exons.